Chelonia mydas (Green sea turtle) is the source of this 72-nucleotide non-coding RNA. The record is from Rfam. NCBI's taxonomy places the organism in Eukaryota, Metazoa, Chordata, Testudines, Cheloniidae.
GGCAGCACGGUCCAAUGGAAAGGGCACUGGCCUGGGAGUCAGGAGGCCUGGGUUCUAGUCCCAGCUCUGCUG